This 335-nucleotide ribosomal RNA is filed under the name uncultured bacterium. RNAcentral's name for it is "bacterial SSU rRNA". It matches the Rfam family "Bacterial small subunit ribosomal RNA", at positions 568 to 899 of the family's 1533-position model. The record is from RNAcentral.
UGCGUAGGCGGCUCGGUAAGUCACGUGUGAAAGGCCGGGGCUCAACCCCCGGAUCGGCAUGUGAGACUGCCGGACUCGAGCACGGUAGAGGCGAGCGGAAUUCCUGGUGUAGCGGUGGAAUGCGUAGAGAUCAGGAAGAACACCGGUGGCGAAGGCGGCUCGCUGGGCCGUUGCUGACGCUGAGGCACGAAAGCGUGGGGAGCAAACAGGAUUAGAUACCCUGGUAGUCCACGCCCUAAACGAUGGACACUAGGGCGUCGGGGGGAGCGACCCUCCCGGUGCCGUCGCUAACGCAAUAAGUGUCCCGCCUGAGGAGUACGGCCGCAAGGCUAGAA